UAGAAAAAUUGCAGCCAGUGGAUGUUCAGGAAGAGCAUUUCAUAGUCAAAAGCUCUGGAGAUGGAACUUCAUUAAGGAGCAAUCGUGCUAUGGACUUGGGACCAGAGAAAUUACUGAACAGAAGGAUGGUGACAGGUGAUUCUUUUGUUGUGACUCCGAGGGAUGGGGAACACGAGGAUAGAGUUAGGCUGGAAGAUAUAGAAAAUGCAGAGAGUUUUCGACCAAUCAUGAAGAGAAGGGACUUGACAGAUGAGGAUUUGGUAAUUUCACAAAGAUUAGAAGAUUCAGGAAGUGGCCUCAGGGG
This 304-nucleotide long non-coding RNA is filed under the name Populus trichocarpa (black cottonwood). RNAcentral describes it as "long non-coding RNA (PTRI_LNC001135)". Lineage: Eukaryota; Viridiplantae; Streptophyta; Magnoliopsida; Malpighiales; Salicaceae. The record is from RNAcentral.